UACGGAGGGAGCAAGCGUUACUCGGAAUUAUUGGGCGUAAAGGGCGCGUAGGCGAUUCGAUAAGUCUCAUGUGAAAUCCCAGGGCCUAACCCUGGAAUGGCAUGGGAUACUGUUGGAUUUGAGUUCCGGAGAGGAAGGCAGAAUUCCUGGUGUAGCGGUGAAAUGCGCAGAUAUCAGGAGGAACACCGGUGGCGAAGGCGGAUCUCUGGGCCAUUACUGACGCUGAGGAGCGAAAGCGUGGGGAGCGAACAGG
RNAcentral lists this ribosomal RNA (253 nucleotides) under uncultured bacterium. RNAcentral describes it as "partial 16S ribosomal RNA". It matches the Rfam family "Bacterial small subunit ribosomal RNA", at positions 524 to 776 of the family's 1533-position model. The record is from RNAcentral.